RNAcentral lists this ribosomal RNA (510 nucleotides) under uncultured soil bacterium. RNAcentral's name for it is "bacterial SSU rRNA". It matches the Rfam family "Bacterial small subunit ribosomal RNA", at positions 26 to 540 of the family's 1533-position model. The record is from RNAcentral.
AGAACGAACGCUGGCGGCAGGCCUAACACAUGCAAGUCGAACGAGAAGCCACCUUCGGGUGGUGGAAAGUGGCAGACGGGUGAGUAACGCGUGGGAACGUACCCUUUGGUUCGGAACAACUCCGGGAAACUGGAGCUAAAACCGGAUGAGCCCUACGGGGGAAAGAUUUAUCGCCGAAGGAUCGGCCCGCGUCGGAUUAGCUAGUUGGUGAGGUAACGGCUCACCAAGGCUACGAUCCGUAGCUGGUCUGAGAGGAUGAUCAGCCACACUGGGACUGAGACACGGUCCAGACUCCUACGGGAGGCAGCAGUGGGGAAUAUUGGACAAUGGGCGCAAGCCUGAUCCAGCCAUGCCGCGUGAGUGAUGAAGGCCUUAGGGUGUAAAGCUCUUCGCCAGGGACAUAAUGACGUACCUGGAUAAGGAGCCCCGGAUAACGUUCGUGCCGAGCCAGCCCGACGGUAAUCGUACGAGGUCCCGGGCUCGGGACGAAACGGCCGUACGACGUAAGCG